Molecule: microRNA precursor, 423 nt
Filed under: Glycine max (soybean)
Lineage: Eukaryota; Viridiplantae; Streptophyta; Magnoliopsida; Fabales; Fabaceae
Description: miR5764b stem-loop (gma-MIR5764b)
Source: miRBase by way of RNAcentral
AGACCAAACAGUUUAGUUUCAAGCAUAGCAAGUAAAGCAUGUCUCCUAGAUAGUGCAUCAGCCACUACAUUCCCUUUCCCUUUUUUUUGUUUGAUGACAUAUGGAAAUUGCUCUAAAAAAUCUACCCACUUAGCAUGCCUCUUAUUAAGCUUUCCUUGGCCUUUUAAGUAUUUUAAGGACUCGUGAUCACUAUGGAUGACAAACUCUUUGGGUAAUAGGUAAUGCUGCCAAGUUUGUAAAGCCCUAACCAAAGCAUACAAUUCCUCAGCACAACCAAUAUUCUUGUCCACAGAGGGACCACCCCCGGCGGCGGAAGAAAGAAGGAAUCUCGAUCUCAUUGAGGAGAGAUUGAGAGCUUUUAAAGGCUUUGGUGACUAUCCGUUCGCGGACAUGAUGGAUCUUUGCUUGGUACCGGACGUUGUC